This is a long non-coding RNA of Caretta caretta (loggerhead turtle), 683 nucleotides long. RefSeq lists it as uncharacterized. The record is from RefSeq and is a predicted model, not a curated record. NCBI's taxonomy places the organism in Eukaryota, Metazoa, Chordata, Testudines, Cheloniidae.
UGCUAUUUGGCACUGCUCAUGAAUCUGCUUUUGCAGCUUGCCCAACUGGUUUGUAGUUUCUAGUGGCCAGAGAUGGCCUAGUUGAACCAGGAGGUGAGAAAAGAAAACAUCAGUAUACACGAAGGAUGAGAUUUUGGGGAACUGGGUCUCCAAAUCCUUUCAGCAGCUUUGAAAAGGGCCUCUGCCUCCUUCAGCGCACAGGAUGGAUGGAGCUCAAUAAAUAGAUUAUGUCGGUCUUUGUGGGAUUGGCUUCUGAAGUUGUUCGCAAGAGACUAGUGGGGACAGCGGGGACAUCUGUGAUCAAUGUUCUGCAACUCAGCCCCAAAUCAUGGGCUAUGGGAGCCUCCCUAAAGGACACGUGUCAAGUUCACUGGGUUCAAAACAAGCCGAGUCUGCAGAACACUGUGUCUCCUAUCCGAAUGGCUUCAGAAAUUAAAAAAUAAAACCCCAAAGAGAUACCAUCAAUCAAGGGUGGUGCAUUUGUGGUUUCUAGUUAUUAUUUAUAGUAUGUGAUUUAUAGAUUAUGAGCAAAAUUCUUCUUGCUGAACAGCAGUGAGGAGCCUCUUAUCCUCAGUGAGGAUCUUUAUCAUAUAUUUUGUGCUUGUUCAACACAUGGCACUCCCAUUGACAUCAGUGGAAAUCUCAGCUACAGAAUCAGGAUCAGCAAAGUGAAAUCUGUCUUC